This 298-nucleotide long non-coding RNA is filed under the name Panicum hallii. RNAcentral describes it as "long non-coding RNA (PHAL_LNC000619)". Lineage: Eukaryota; Viridiplantae; Streptophyta; Magnoliopsida; Poales; Poaceae. The record is from RNAcentral.
UUCGCGGUCCUCCUCGGCUCCUCGCCGGUCUUCGUUGCCGUCCCUGAUCCGUUCUCGCUGUCCUGCUCCGGACUCACAGGUCAGUCCACGCCGCUCUACUUCUGUACUUCCCCGCCUUCGAGUUCGUGGCAAGGUUGUCUUCAUCUAUUCUAUGCUUGAUCUGCAGCCCUUGUUUUGCUCGUCGUAGAAUCUCUGGUGAUGGCGGGAGCUACGCCCAAGACCUCAUGGUUCUCACUGGACUGGCCAGUGUAUGAGAUUCGUGAGACGUUUUCUCCUAUCUCGGGGAAAAUCAGUACGC